RNAcentral lists this ribosomal RNA (591 nucleotides) under uncultured bacterium. Its description in RNAcentral is "partial 16S ribosomal RNA". It matches the Rfam family "Bacterial small subunit ribosomal RNA", at positions 355 to 1375 of the family's 1533-position model. The record is from RNAcentral.
UGGGGAAUUUUGGACAAUGGGCGAAAGCCUGAUCCAGCAAUGCCGCGUGUGUGAAGAAGGCCUUCGGGUUGUAAAGCACUUUUGUCCGGAAAGAAAUCCUUGGCUCUAAUACAGUCGGGGGAUGACGGUACCGGAAGAAUAAGCACCGGCUAACUACGUGCCAGCAGCCGCGGUAAUACGUAGGGUGCAAGCGUUAAUCGGAAUUACUGGGCGUAAAGCGUGCGCAGGCGGUUUGCUAAGACCGAUGUGAAAUCCCCGGGCUCAACCUGGGAACUGCAUUGGUGACUGGCAGGCUAGAGUAUGGCAGAGGGGGGUUAGAAUUCCACGUGUAGCAGUGAAAUGCGUAGAGAUGUGGAGGAAUACCGAUGGCGAAGGCAGCCCCCCUGGGCCAAUACUGACGCUCAUGCACGAAAGCGUGGGGAGCAAACAGGAUUAGAUACCCUGGUAGUCCACGCCCUAAACGAUGUCAACUGUUGUUGGGGAACUUCAUUUUCCUUUAGUAACGUAGCUAACGCGUGAAGUUGACCGCCUGGGGGAGUACGGUCGCAAGAUUAAAACUCAAAUGAAUUGACGGGGUCAUAGCUGUUUCCU